This is a long non-coding RNA of Oncorhynchus tshawytscha (Chinook salmon), 1052 nucleotides long. RefSeq lists it as uncharacterized. The record is from RefSeq and is a predicted model, not a curated record. The transcript is spliced from 3 exons. NCBI's taxonomy places the organism in Eukaryota, Metazoa, Chordata, Actinopteri, Salmoniformes, Salmonidae.
ACAGGCGGGAAUUCAAAUGGACAAGUCAUAGCAAUGCUGUUCACAAACAACCGCCCCUGCACACAACUGUUAUUCUGAUUAGUAGAAUCAUCAACCUGUGAGAGGUGUCUACCUAGUAGUACUGCGGAUGAAUCUACUGACAUAAGUUUCAUGGACAGAGAUUAAAAGCUAUAAUUACCCAGAAGCAAAGCCUGCUCAAAGUCCUGGAACAGUUCUAAAACUGGAACACGGAAAAGAGGGAAGGUAGGGCCUCAGCACCCGGACAACAACAACUUCAACUAGCUGGAGUUCCAGGGAUCGACAGGAAAGGAGUGUUUUGUAAAGAAUGCUGUAAUGUGUGAACUAAAGUGUAUAUUCUUGGUUUGCUGUGUGUCCUACCUGUUGCACCAUUCAGAGCAACGGCAGCACAGAGCAGCAGAGAUAUGGUCAACAUUGCCAUGUUAGUGAUGAUGGUCUCCUAAAAACAAGGGCAGCAGCCUCUAAGGUGCAGGUUUGAGUAACCGGGUGGUGGCCUUGGGAUGUGGUGGCCCUGUUCCCUGAUUUAAGAGGUGAUGACCACCACUCCACUACCAUUGUCAACUCUCUCCUGACAUGAACUGAAGCCACGUCUCAUCUGCCCGCUGAUCCACUGGCAAAUUGAACGUUUCCUCUCCAAGUACUUCAAACCCUGUCCUGCAGUGGUCAAGCCUCUGAACACCUCAACUCAUGCCUCAUACCCUCAUUCAAUCACUGCUGUGAUCCCUUCCCAACACUAUGUAAGUAACUCAUAAUAUUGUCAUUUAAAUGUCUUUAUUAAACUCUUUAGGUUAAAAUAGUUAGUCUUUGAUGAUUUUUGAAACACACUUUGUCGUGUCCGUGCGUUCCGCGCCUAUACCCUGGGUCUCCCAUCCUCCUCAAUUUUUCAAGUCCCCAGCCUCCACUGGCCCAGUAAUAUGGUCAAGUGCCACAAAAAGGGAAAUUACAGUUGGCCCAGAACAAAGCAGCUGGCCCUUAAAGCUCACAUUAAUAAUAUGCAUGUCAAUCUCUCUUGGCGCAAAGAAGAGGAAAGAUUG